GGCUGGUCCGAAGGUAGUGAGUUAUCUCAAUUGAUUGUUCACAGUCAGUUACAGAUCGAACUCCUUGUUCUACUCUUUCCCCCCUUCUCACUACUGCACUUGACUAGUCUUU
This 112-nucleotide Y RNA is filed under the name Homo sapiens (human). Its description in RNAcentral is "scRNA-hY1_RNA". It matches the Rfam family "Y RNA". From Rfam's summary of the family: Y RNAs are components of the Ro ribonucleoprotein particle (Ro RNP), in association with Ro60 and La proteins. The Y RNAs and Ro60 and La proteins are well conserved, but the function of the Ro RNP is not known. In humans the RNA component can be one of four small RNAs -- hY1, hY3, hY4 and hY5. Lineage: Eukaryota; Metazoa; Chordata; Mammalia; Primates; Hominidae. The record is from RNAcentral.